Molecule: non-coding RNA, 74 nt
Filed under: Musa acuminata subsp. malaccensis (wild Malaysian banana)
Lineage: Eukaryota; Viridiplantae; Streptophyta; Magnoliopsida; Zingiberales; Musaceae
Description: tRNA
Rfam family: tRNA
About the family: Transfer RNA (tRNA) molecules are approximately 80 nucleotides in length. Their secondary structure includes four short double-helical elements and three loops (D, anti-codon, and T loops).
Source: Rfam by way of RNAcentral
GCGCUCUUAGUUCAGUUCGGUAGAACGCGGGUCUCCAAAACCCUCUGUCGUGGGUUCAAAUCCUACAGAGCGAA